GAUGAAGAACGUAGCGAAAUGCGAUAAGUAGUGUGAAUUGCAGAAUUCAGUGAAUCAUCGAAUCUUUGAACGCACAUUGCGCCCCUUGGUAUUCCAUGGGGCAUGCCUGUUCGAGCGUCAUUUGUACCUUCAAGCUCUGCUUGGUGUUGGGUGUUUGUCCUUGCUCUAGUGGCGGGACUCGCCUUAAAGUAAUUGGCAGCCAGUGUUUUGGUUUUGAAGCGCAGCACAAGUCGCGAUUCAAGUCUAUACGCUAGUUUCCUCAAGUCUUUUAUCACUUUUGACCUCGGAUCAGGUAGGGAUACCCGCUGAACUUAAGCAUAUCAAUAAGCGGAGGA
Molecule: unclassified non-coding RNA, 335 nt
Filed under: soil metagenome
Description: partial contains 5.8S ribosomal RNA, internal transcribed spacer 2, and large subunit ribosomal RNA
Rfam family: 5.8S ribosomal RNA (bases 1-120)
Source: RNAcentral